This 2093-nucleotide ribosomal RNA is filed under the name Triticum aestivum (bread wheat). RNAcentral describes it as "partial small subunit ribosomal RNA". Lineage: Eukaryota; Viridiplantae; Streptophyta; Magnoliopsida; Poales; Poaceae. The record is from RNAcentral.
CUCGCUAGGGUUCGUCCGUCCGCUCUCAGUGGUCAGAACCCAGACCUCGGCCACCGCCCUCUUCUUCUCCGACGAGGAGCCAGCCAUAAUCCUCCGCCUCCGGGUCCUCUCCUCUGGCGCCCGGGUCAGUAGCGCGCCAGCCAGAUCUUUAAAUUUCCAUGCCGAAUUCGAUUCGACCCCGUUUAUUCCAUCUAACGCGGGGGUAAAUUUGAACCGCCUUGCUCUCGCUGGCGCCAGACCUUCCUUCUUCUUCUCUUCAUGGCUGCAGCAGCAGAGGAUUCCACCUACGGAGUGCAAGCCAACUCGGUUUUGCUCCGGUAACGGAGUAAUAUUCGGCGACCUCGUGUAGCUGCAGUCCGAUUAGGACCCCUCCCUUUCGGACUGGUUAUUAUAAAUAGUGGCAGAAUAAGGACGAGCCACGCUCGCCUGGAAGAUUUCGUUCCAAGCCCCGUCAGGUUUCAGCGUCCUCACACUCCAUGGAGGCGAUAAAUACCGAUUGCAGCGACAGUUCCCGCAGCCAACAACUGAAGGACGAAGAUAGGCUCAGCAUGCUGACUGAUGAUAUUUUACUGUCCAUCUUGGGGAGAGUCAGCUCAUGUAUGGCUGCAAGGACAAGUGUGCUCUCUACACGGUGGAAGCAUCUGCCUUGGUUGCUGCCUGAGCUCAGCAUCGAUGUGAAGGAUUUCCUAUCCGCUCCGUGCGCUGACCCUAUUGAGGAAAAUGAUAUGGAACAAGCUAUGAAGUCUUUGACCAAAGCAACCAGGAGUUUGUUGGAUAAACAACAGAGAGAAUCCACUAUCUCAAGUUUGCACCUUGAGCUCUAUCUGUUCAACGCUUUCCUUUGUGAGGUUGGCCCACUGAUAGGUGAUGCAAUCGACAGUGGUUUGUUGAAAGAUUUGGAUCUCACCAUUCUUGAUGAGACAGAGCCUCUUGACCAUAGUGAGGAAGAGAUGCAACAGCGAGCUCAAGACAUCGAUGCUUUUUUCACUGCCUACCCUAGUGUGCUCCACUGCCUCACAAAGCUCUCUCUAAAAAAUGUAGGCUUUGACAAAUUGGACAUGCACCAUGUUCUGUUUGACUGCUGCAAGCAACUGAAGCAUCUAACCCUUCAUCAUUGUGAUACUGGUUCCUACUCUCUCUUUAAGAUUGAUGCACCACACUCAAAACUCUGUGUUCUAGAAAUCGGAAAGUGUCGCUUUCUGAGAAUCGACCUUGUCUGCCUCCCUAAUCUGGAGAAGUUGGUUUGCGAUACUUGGGUAUCUCAGUGUGCCCCGUUGACCUUUGGUUUUGUCCCUUCUCUUGGGGAAUUAGAACUCUCAUGUGGUUCAGAUUGUGAGCAACGCGGAUUUAAAUUAAGUGAGCUUCUACAUGGAGUAACAAGCAUACAUAGUCUCACAUUGGAUUUCCAAGGAGAAACCCUUUGGUUGCAUCCUGAAAUGGAGGAUCUCCGCACCGCAUUCAGCAAGCUAAGGAAGCUGUCUGUACUUGGUAUCUUUGUUGAAUUUGACAUUUUAUGGACAACGGCCUUUCUUGUAGCAGCACCAUCUAUUGAAAUGUUACAUAUUGAGGUAUGGGAACAUACAUGCGAUGUGGGUGAGGCCAGACCUGCUUCCUUCCAUGACAGAAGGAGCCCUCAGUGGGAAAUGCACUUGGAUAGCAGCUCCGAGAACAAGCUUCUGAAAGAGCUAGAAUUUGCUGGAUUUAAAUCGCUAGAACAACAGUUUACAUUUAUAAGAUCCAUGUUGGAGCGAUCUCCCAACUUGCAGAAGAUGGUACUGAAAGAUGAGGUGCAGUGCGAUGACUGCGAUGCCCUUGAGGUACCUCGCCCUUCUAGAUUUCCGAGGAAGAAAGAUGAGCAAGAAGUGGUCGUUAAGCGGAUUAUAGAUGGCAUUUUCUCGCCAGAGAUAAUUUUUCAUGAAUAAGGAGAGAUGACAAUCUCAGGCUAAAUAAUUUUUGAUGCUUAUAAGUUGUACUUCCUCCGUCCCAAAGUUCUACUAAACCAGCGACACUUAUUUUGGGACGGAGUAAGAAACAGUCUGUAUGCUCCAUGUCUUGUCACUUUAAUAUUCCUCCUUGUUUCCUGGACGCUGAGC